This 690-nucleotide ribosomal RNA is filed under the name uncultured Candidatus Poseidoniales archaeon. RNAcentral describes it as "bacterial SSU rRNA". It matches the Rfam family "Archaeal small subunit ribosomal RNA", at positions 225 to 916 of the family's 1478-position model. Lineage: Archaea; Methanobacteriati; Thermoplasmatota; Candidatus Poseidoniia; Candidatus Poseidoniales. The record is from RNAcentral.
UCAGGUUGUAGGGGGUGUAAAGUACCCUCUAGCCAUCAACGCGUACGGGUGUUGGGAGACAUUGCCCGGAGAUGGAUUCUGAGACACGAAUCCAGACCCUACGGGGUGCAGCAGGCGCGAAAACUUGGCAAUGCGAGCAAUCGUGACCAGGGAACUCCAAGUGCGUAGGGUAAGACCUACGCUUUUCUUGACUCUUCAAAGGUCUUGGAAUAAGGGGUGGGUAAGGACGGUGCCAGCCGCCGCGGUAAUACCGGCGCCUCAAGUGGUAGUCGCUUUUAUUGGGCCUAAAACGUCCGUAGCCGGUCUGGUACAUUCGUGGGUAAAUCAACCCGCUCAACGGGUUGAAUUCUGCGAGCACGGCCAGACUUGGGACCGGGAGAGGUGUGGGGUACUCUCAGGGUAGGGGUAAAAUCCUGUCAUCCUGAGAGGACCACCUGUUGCGAAGGCGCCACACUAGAACGGAUCCGACGGUCAGGGACGAAACCUAGGGGCACGAACCGGAUUAGAUACCCGGGUAGUCCUAGGUGUAAACGCUGUGGACUUGAUGUUGGGGGCGCUCCGAGCGCUUUCAGUGUCGAAGCGAAGGUGAUAAGUCCACUGCCUGGGGAGUACGGUCGCAAGGCUGAAACUUAAAGGAAUUGGCGGGGGAGCACUGCAACCUGAGGAUUGUGCGGUUUAAUUGGACUCAAC